UUACCCGCUGAAUUUAAGCAUAUUAGUAAGCGGAGGAGAAGAAACUAACAAGGAUUCCCUUAGUAACGGCGAGUGAAGCGGGAUGAGCCCAGCACCGAAUCUCCCUGGCGCAUGCCAGUGGCGACCUGUGGUGUUUGGGAGUGUCGUUGGUGCGCUGCCACAGUCUGCUCAAGUCCUCUUGAUUGGGGCUUAGGUCCAGAGAUGGGUGCAAGGCCCGUAGAGCAGACGGUGGCGCGCCUCUGGCGCUCUCUGGAGUCGGGUUGUUUGAGAAUGCAGCCCAAAGUGGGUGGUAAACUCCAUCUAAGGCUAAAUAUUUGCACAAGACCGAUAGCAAACAAGUACCGUGAGGGAAAGUUGAAAAGCACUUUGAAGAGGAGUUGGAAAGUACGUGAAACCGUUUACAGGUAAACGGACGGAUCUCAUUAUUCGGCGACAGGGAUUCAGGCCUGCGCUGGGCGUGGUGCGGCGUUCUUGCUGUCUGUGUGCUGUUGAUCGGCGCUAGCAGCUCCGUCGUGGCCGCGCCCGGCCGGGACGCACUUCUCUUGUCUUUGCCGAGCGCUACGACCGCCUGCGCGGCAGUCAGAAGGCCUCCUGAGCAAGGUAGCUUGGCCGGCGAUGCAAGUUGCUCGCCAAGAACUUAUAGGUUCGCGGGGGUGUCGACUGACCUGUUGCAAGGGUGAGGACUGCAAUGUCGUGCGGUGCCGGCUCGACGACGCCGCUGCGCGGAGACUGACGAGGACUGCUUGCAGUGCUAGUUGACUUCGUGUGGCGGGCCAGUUGUCCUGUUCGGCCUGCGCCUUUGGGUCAGUGGCGUGCAAUGGGCUCUCUGUCCGACCCGUCUUGAAACACGGACCAAGGAGUCUAGCUCAUGCGCAAGUCAAAGGGUCGCUACGUUUACUACGAAACCCCAAGGCGUAACGAAAGUGAAAACAACACUGUUGUCGGUGCGAUCGUGCCCUGAACAAGCACGCGCAGCACCAGCCCGUUCCCAAUGGGCCCGCGGUCCGGGGCGGAAGCAAGAGC
This 1023-nucleotide ribosomal RNA is filed under the name Paradexiospira vitrea. RNAcentral's name for it is "eukaryotic LSU rRNA". It matches the Rfam family "Eukaryotic large subunit ribosomal RNA", at positions 21 to 801 of the family's 3401-position model. The record is from RNAcentral. Lineage: Eukaryota; Metazoa; Annelida; Polychaeta; Sabellida; Serpulidae.